This 29-nucleotide ribosomal RNA is filed under the name Allium obtusiflorum. RNAcentral describes it as "partial small subunit ribosomal RNA". The record is from RNAcentral. Lineage: Eukaryota; Viridiplantae; Streptophyta; Magnoliopsida; Asparagales; Amaryllidaceae.
GAAGUGCGUAAGUACUGCGGAAGACAUUG